UGCUGGGGCUAGCUUGAGCUAGUUAAGGAUUGUAUUCCUAGAAUAUUGCUAUUUUUAUUAUUGAAUGGAACUUGGCCAUUAGUGGCCUUUCAAUCUCUAUGUUUCCCUUUUCUAUUCUACUCCAUUGCUUUCUAUUCUUUUUUUGGAUUUUUGCUCCUAACUCUAACAUUUGGUCUGACUCGCCGAAUCUCAAACACAUGACCAAAACAAUGGAGGGAAGAGUUGAAGAGAUAGAGAAGAGCACGACUAGCAUGGGGGAAGUUUUAGCCGUCAUGAAAGUGGAGCAGGAGAAGCGCAUGGCCAAUUUCCAGUUAGAGAAAGAGCAACAUUUUACAAGGUUGGAGUCCUUACUUAUCAAUCCCUAUAGUAAGACAACGGUAGUGGAAGGAGAUUGUUCAAGUAACAGAUCUACCACCCCAACAGUGGUGCCUCCACCUGUUAUACCUACAGUUGAAGAUAAUUCCAUGGCAAUGAAAAAGGUAGAACUCCCAGACUUUGAUGGCACCGAUCCAACUGGUUGGCUCCUGAGAGUGGAACAGUAUUUCACUAUCAAUUCUACCAAGGAGGAGAUGAAGGUUCCCUUAGCCAUGGUUUGUAUGGAAGAACAUGCUUUGCAUUGGAUGCGGUGGUAGCGUUUGCGCAAUCCUAAUCUCACAUGGGUUCAACUCACAGAUGAAUUAAUGCAUCGGUAUGGGGGAGAUAUGAGGACUAAUAUGUUUGAACGCCUAUCUACCUUACGUCAAGAAGAAUCUGUAGAUGAUUUUUGUUAUGGAAAGUCAA
RNAcentral lists this unclassified non-coding RNA (780 nucleotides) under Hevea brasiliensis (rubber tree). The record is from RNAcentral. Lineage: Eukaryota; Viridiplantae; Streptophyta; Magnoliopsida; Malpighiales; Euphorbiaceae.